CCUACGGGAGGCAGCAGUGGGGAAUAGUGCACAAUGGGGGAAACCCUGAUGCAGCGACGCCGCGUGAGUGAAGAAGUAUUUCGGUAUGUAAAGCUCUAUCAGCAGGGAAGAAAAUGACGGUACCUGAUUAAGAAGCCCCGGCUAACUACGUGCCAGCAGCCGCGGGAAUACGUAGGGGGCAAGCGUUAUCCGGAUUUACUGGGUGUAAAGGGAGCGUAGACGGCAGCACAAGUCUGGAGUGAAAUGCCGGGGCUUAACCCCGGAACUGCUUUGGAAACUGUGCAGCUAGAGUGCAGGAGAGGUAAGUGGAAGUCCUAGUGUAGCGGUGAAAUGCGUAGAUAUUAGGAGGAACACCAGUGGCGAAGGCGGCUUACUGGACUGUAACUGACGUUGAGGCUCGAAAGCGUGGGGAGCAAACAGGAUUAGAUACCCCAGUAGUC
RNAcentral lists this ribosomal RNA (440 nucleotides) under uncultured bacterium. RNAcentral describes it as "partial 16S ribosomal RNA". It matches the Rfam family "Bacterial small subunit ribosomal RNA", at positions 338 to 795 of the family's 1533-position model. The record is from RNAcentral.